CCUACGGGCGGCAGCAGUGGGGAAUAUUGCACAAUGGGGGAAACCCUGAUGCAGCGACGCCGCGUGAAGGAAGAAGUAUCUCGGUAUGUAAACUUCUAUCAGCAGGGAAGAUAGUGACGGUACCUGACUAAGAAGCCCCGGCUAACUACGUGCCAGCAGCCGCGGUAAUACGUAGGGGGCUAGCGUUAUCCGGAAUUACUGGGCGUAAAGGGUGCGUAGGUGGUUUCUUAAGUCAGAGGUGAAAGGCUACGGCUCAACCGUAGUAAGCCUUUGAAACUGGGAAACUUGAGUGCAGGAGAGGAGAUUGGAAUUCCUAGUGUAGCGGUGAAAUGCGUAGAUAUUAGGAGGAACACCAGUUGCGAAGGCGGCUCUCUGGACUGUAACUGACACUGAGGCACGAAAGCGUGGGGAGCAAACAGGAUUA
RNAcentral lists this ribosomal RNA (424 nucleotides) under uncultured Prevotella sp. Its description in RNAcentral is "bacterial SSU rRNA". It matches the Rfam family "Bacterial small subunit ribosomal RNA", at positions 338 to 780 of the family's 1533-position model. The record is from RNAcentral. Lineage: Bacteria; Pseudomonadati; Bacteroidota; Bacteroidia; Bacteroidales; Prevotellaceae.